RNAcentral lists this ribosomal RNA (1074 nucleotides) under Panops jade. Its description in RNAcentral is "partial 28S ribosomal RNA". It matches the Rfam family "Eukaryotic large subunit ribosomal RNA", at positions 1404 to 2354 of the family's 3401-position model. The record is from RNAcentral. Lineage: Eukaryota; Metazoa; Arthropoda; Insecta; Diptera; Acroceridae.
UGAAGUGUUUGGCGUAAGCCUGCAUGGAGCCGCCAUUGGUACAGAUCUUGGUGGUAGUAGCAAAUAAUCGAAUGAGAUCUUGGAGGACUGAAGUGGAGAAGGGUUUCGUGUGAACAGUGGUUGAUCACGAGUUAGUCGGUCCUAAGUUCAAGGCGAAAGUCGUAAAAUGUUAAAGUAAAUUAUAUUUAUAUAUUAAUACUUUAUAUCAUUUUAAUGAACGAAAGGGAAUACGGUUCCAAUUCCGUAACCUGUUGAGUAUACGUUUGUAAUUAAAAAUGGGCUUUAAUGCUCAUCCUGGUAACAGUAACAACCAUAAAGCAGCCGUCGAGAGGUAUCGAAAGAGUUUUCUUUUCUGUUUUAUAGUCGUAUUACCAUGGAAGUCUUUCGAAGAGAGAUAUGGUAAAUGGACUAGAAGAGCAUGGCAUUUACUGCUGUGUCGAUAUUUUCUCCUCGGACCUUGAAAAUUUAUGGUAGGGUCACGCAAAUUUCUUAACAGGCCGUACCGAUAUCCGCAGCUGGUCUCCAAGGUGAAGAGUCUCUAGUCGAUAGAAUAAUGUAGGUAAGGGAAGUCGGCAAAUUAGAUCCGUAACUUCGGGAUAAGGAUUGGCUCUGAAGAUUGAGAUAGUCGGGCUUGAUUGGGAAGCAAUAAUAUGGUUUAUGUACUCGUUCUGGGUAAAUUAGAAUGAAAUUUAUAUUUUAGAUGUAAAUGGAAUUUGUUCCCCGGAUAGUAGUUUACGUAACCAAUUGCGGAACUUUCUUGCUAAUAAUAUAUUAGAAAAAAGCGAUGAUAAUUUAUAUAUUUAUAACGGCUAUCAAUUAACAAUCAAUUCAGAACUGGCACGGACUUGGGGAAUCCGACUGUCUAAUUAAAACAAAGCAUUGUGAUGGCCCUAACGGGUGUUGACACAAUGUGAUUUCUGCCCAGUGCUCUGAAUGUCAAAGUGAAGAGAUUCAAGUAAGCGCGGGUAAACGGCGGGAGUAACUAUGACUCUCUUAAGGUAGCCAAAUGCCUCGUCAUUUAAUUCGUGACGCGCAUGAAUGGAUUAACGAGAUUCCUACUGUCCCUAUCUACUA